This 390-nucleotide unclassified non-coding RNA is filed under the name uncultured fungus. RNAcentral describes it as "partial contains 5.8S ribosomal RNA and internal transcribed spacer 2". The stretch from base 1 to 133 matches the Rfam family "5.8S ribosomal RNA", at positions 22 to 154 of the family's 154-position model. Lineage: Eukaryota; Fungi. The record is from RNAcentral.
UGGCUCUCGCAUCGAUGAAGAACGCAGCGAAAUGCGAUAAGUAAUGUGAAUUGCAGAAUUCAGUGAAUCAUCGAAUCUUUGAACGCACCUUGCGCCUCUUGGUCUUCUGAGAGGCAUGCCUGUUUGAGUGUCAUCAAAUCAUCGAACCCGAAAGGUCGCUCGCGGCCUCUCGGUGCUCGGACUCUGGGGUGUGCGAGGAGGAGUAGUCGUCUCGGGCGCUGCUCAUCCUCGCUCCUCUCGAAAUGCAUCAGCAGACGUUCACUUGUGGACCUGAUCCGGCGUGAUAGAUUGACGUCGUUCGGUCUCUGCGGGACUCUGCUUCGAGCCGUCGCCUCGCGCGACAGUCUUCUCUGACGAUUCGACCUCAAAUCAGGUAGGACUACCCGCUGA